UGGCCCUGUGGACUACUGCGAGCCUAACAGUUACGGUAGAGUCCCUGCCCCGGGAACGUGGUUCGAUGGAUGGCCCCCACGGUAAUCCUCACCCUCGCCAAAAAAAGAGCCAAGGGGAGGAGGAGGGUUUAACAGUUUACACGUCGGAUCAUCCCUCGUUAUUGUUGCGUUUAUGAUAAUAGCAGCCGAGCGGCACGAACCGGCUGACCGCUUCAACCCCAUCCAGAGGGUCGCAAUCGUUACCAUGCUCAGGUAUGCUGUUGAAAGUGUAGAAAAAACGAUGGAUCCUAUCUUGAAAUUAGCGAGAGGUACAAUCUCGAUCUCUACAAUGUUUCAUCACCGAUACCGUUCUCCACGCCAGAAAUAAAAAGAGAAUCUAUGUAUGGAUGGUGAUUUAAUUGGAAAGUCGCGGUCGCCCAGAAAAAAAAUGAUUUUUCGAUGUUAAAAUGGCGGACAAUUAAUUACAAAAUGAAAGCUCCGCCUGCCUCGUCGCGAA
Long non-coding RNA from Apis cerana (Asiatic honeybee), 496 nucleotides. RefSeq lists it as uncharacterized. Lineage: Eukaryota; Metazoa; Arthropoda; Insecta; Hymenoptera; Apidae. The record is from RefSeq and is a predicted model, not a curated record.